CUCCGGUGCGCUCCACCAAUCAAAAAGGACGAUGGAGAGCGGGGGCGGAAGAGAAAACGGAAAGGGGAAGAGAGCAGCGUUGGGAGGAAGGGCCGGAGGACUGGAAGGCUGGGAGGGGCGCGGCGGCGGCAGGGCGGGGAGCGACCACGUGCCUCCGGAGCUACCGGGAGGAAGCGAAAGAGAAUUGGACCACUUGAGGAGAGGCGGGGAUGGAGAAGGAGAGAACCUGGGAGCAAGUUGGUUUGCUCUUGUUGUCCGGCCGCCCCAGAUCUCUGUGUUCCAGGUUUGAAGCGGAGUUAAAGUUUUUGUUUUGUUUUGUUUUCCGGCGCGCCUUCUCUUUCAGGGCAUUGCUUGCGCGCUCCGUUGACUUUACUGGAAGUAGGAGAUGCACGUUGGGUCAGUCCGGUCGGGGCACGCCCUUCCCCCACUCCCCAAGGUCCAUUCCCAGGCUGGGGGUCCCCGCCGUUUGAGGGCAGGGCCAUAGAGUUUGGACCAGCUGGGGUGACGUGCGUUCGGGAGUCGCGGCGGAAAGCGAGAGGGACAGUGGGUGGAAAAGGGAAAGGACGCAGUAGGCAAAUCUGAUUCAUCCUUUCAAACCACGUCCCCGCAACAGGUGAGAAAACUGAAGAACAGAGAGGAUUGGUGACUUGUCCAAGGUCACUGAAUAAGCAGAAAACCUGGCAUUUGAACUGGGGUGGACACCAGAGCCAGCACUCCUGAUUACCAUAUAGGCACAUAAACAUCACAGUUCACGGUUAACUUUUUAAGGUAGGCAUUAUUACUUCCACUUUUUAAAUAAGGAACCCAAAGUUCAGAUAGGCUGAGCAACUUGCUCAAGACCCUAUGCAACUAAUAAGUGUUAGAGCCCCAGUUUGAUUUCAGGUCUGACUAGCUGCUAAACUCCCACUGUUUCUAGUUGACCAUUACUAUGGGCUGCAGGCUUGUGUCCUAAAAUCCAUGUGUUGAAACCUCAUCCUCAAUGUGAUGGUGUUUGGAGGUGGGGCCUUUGGGAAGUAAUUAGGUCAGGAGGGUAAAACCCUCAUUAAUGGGAUUAGUACCCUUAGAAAGGGGGCCCUUCAGAGAUCCUUCUGCCAGGUGAGGUUAGUGCGAAGAUGGCGGUCUAUGAGGGAAUGUGUUCUCAUCAAAUUGGCUACUGCCUUGAUCUUGGACUUUCCAACCUGCAGAACUGUGAGAAAUAAAUUUCUGGGGGCACCUGGCUGGCUCAGUUUGAAGAGCACAUGGCUCCUGAUCUUGAUGUUGUGAGUUCCAGUACCACACUGAGUGGUGAAGAGAUUACUUGAAAAUAAAAUCUUUUUAAAAAAAGUAAAUUUUUGUUGUUUAUAAGCGCCGGUCUGUGGUACUUUGUUACAGCAGCCUGAAUAGACAAAAUCACCAUGCUGCCUCUCUGGCCUAUAACACAGAUCUCCCCUGGGCCUCUAUGAUAUUGUGGUUUAUAUUAAGAAAUAUAUAUUUGGUCUUCCUUCAUGGUUCCUGGCACAUAACUCCUAAAACCUUUGUAAUUUCUUAAAUGGUAACAAUUACAGGGGUAUCUUUCCUUCUCAGCUUCUGAAACAGCUCCACAAUGAAAUGGGUGUCUUUUGUUAUUCAUAACAAGCCCCUUUUAACCACAUCUGAGUGUAUGUUAAUGCAAUGACUUUUGGAAAGUCCCUAAGGACCCUGGGGCCUGGUUGCCAGGGGAACCAACUGUGUGAUUAGAGGGUUCAAAAUUUCAGUCCAACUCCUGCCCUUGACCUCUGGGGAGGAGAGAGGGACUGGCCAAUGAUUUAAUCAAUCAAGCAUACUUAAUGAAGCCUCCAUAAAAACCCAAAAAGGUUGGAUUGGGAGAGCUUUCGGGUUGGUGGACUCGUGGAGGUGCUCCAGACAGAUAUGGAAGCUCUGUGCCCCUUUCCCCAUACUUUGCCCUGUGCAUCUCUUCCAUUUGACUGUUCUUAAGUUAUAUCCUUUUAUAAUAAACUGGUAGUCCAAUACUUAAAACUGUUUUCCUCCGUUCUGUGAGCUGCUCUAGCAAUUAAUCAACCCCCACUCCAGUGGGGUUGGUAUAUAGAUCUCUGAUUUAUAGCUGGCUGGUCAGAUGUACAGGUGACAGCCUGAACUUGUGAUGAUGUAUGAAAUUGCGGGGGCAGGGGCAGUGCUGAGUCUUGUCCGGCUGAACCCUUAACCUGUGGGAUCUGUAGGACACCCAGCUGGUGUCACAGAAUCGUUUGGGGCAGGAAAAAACUACCACACAUUGGUAAUCAGAAAUGAGAAUAGUACUGUGACUGGACAGAAAACAUUUUUUUUUUUUUUCCUAAACAGGCUCCAAAGAGGUCUAGUUCUGAAAUGUCUAAGGCAGUGGUUCUCAAACUUUAAGGUGCUUUAGAACCAGCUGGAAGACUGAAAACCCAAAUUGGUUAUAGACUUAACUAAAAAAAUGUGCUAAAUAAUGUUUUAAGGACAGAAUUUAGCCAAUUUCAUUUCACUUUUUAAAUAGAUUUAUGCAAUAUUUUCCUGGGUUCCUUUCUGUUCUCAAGCUUUUCUCUUGAAUUUUCUCAAAUGCCAUUUUCUUGAUGACAUUUUUCUUAAAAGACUGACUCCACUGAUCCUAUGAAGUCUAGUCCAAGUUCCUUGCUGUUAGUUAAAUCUCAUAUCCUCUGCUGCUGACUUUCCUCAUUCCUUGAAGGCUCAGGCCCGUGUCUCCCUUCUUGAGUCACUUCCCAAAGAGACAAAACUUGUCUCUUAACUGUUCUUCUUCUGCUCAAUUGCAGCCCAUUUGCCAGGCAUUCUGGUUUCCCUCUACUAGCUUCCACCUUAGGGCCAUGCCCUCACAGUUAGUCCGGAAUGGAGUCCCCUGCCACAUCUGCAAUGAUCUCCAGGAACCAUCUCUGAUACCAACAAACAAGAAAAUCCCAGUAUCUCCAUGGUUUAGUCUCCCUGUUCAGCAUGGAUUUCUUUAAAAAAAGAAAAAAAAAAAAAAAAAGAAAAACCUAAUGGCACUAAUCUACAUGUAGUUUCUUUCUUUCUUUUCCUUCUUAAGAUUUUAUUUAUUUACUUGAGACAGAAAGAGAGCACAAGCCAGAGGAGAAUCACAGAGAGAGGGAGAAGCAGGCUUCCAGCUGAGCAGGAAGCCUGACGUGGGGCUCCAUCCCAGGACCCUGAGAUCAUGACCUGAGCUGAAGGCAGAUGCUUAACUGACUGAGCCGCCCAGGCGCCCCUAUAUGUAGUUUCUUAAACUGAAAAGAUUGUUUUUGAUUUUUUAUUCUUUUCUCCUGGGUUCCAUGUUCAAAGAGUGGCAACUUGUAUCGAAUAAAUAGAAUAUGGUAUUUCUCUCAUUUGCCUUCUCCCUAUUCUCUGCUACCAUCCUCUGUUUUGUUCAAGAAAGGUAAGAAGUGUUUCAUGUUCAUGAUGAGUUAGAAGAGAGCAUACAUGUUAUCUACACCAACCACCUCAUUUGUGCUUGAAUUCUGACUUCUGUGGUUUCAUCAUGUGCAACAUAUUCAUUAACUGGGAGCUCAAUAUUUCUUGAAUCAUAGCCCAUUCAGUCUUCAGAGAAUAUCGUUACAAAGUUCAUAUUAAACAAGUAUAUAUAUAAUAUUACUUAAAAAGUCAUUGUGAUACUUAAGGUUUAACCAGAUAGGCAUCCAUGGAGAAUACAAAGGGCAAGGGCAUUAAAUAGGGCUAUUUUUUGCAUUUGUGAAAAUGAUAGAUUUCUACCAACUAUAAUAUAUUACAUCUAGGUUUUGGGUCCUGUUUUUAAUUUUUUUAAAAUUUUUUAAUAAACAUAUAAUGUAUUAUUAGCCUCAGGGGUACAAGUCUGUGAAUUGCCAGAUUUAAACACUUCACAGCACUCACUAUAGCACAUACCUCCCCAAUGUCCAUAACCCCACCACCCCUGUUUUGAAUUUUGAGAGAAUAGUAGUGCUAGUCAGACUGAUGAAAAUCCUCAUGAAUGUGAAUGAUUUUAAUAACUUGAGUAGACAGAACUGAUGCCAUAAAAGAGGCAAGUACCUUGGAUUAUCACAUAUGAGGAGGACUCCGAUGUAUUUAUUAGUUAUUUUUAUUUAUUACUGAGUAGAGAUUAUAUGUGGCAUAUGGUACCCACGUAUACACCUAUAAUUCAGGAAGAUGAACUACAAAACUAUACAAGAUAGAAGACUUAUUUUAAGUCCAGAAGUUAGUCCUGAAAUUCACAAUACCUCAUAGAAUUCAUCAGCUUUCUAUUUACAGUUCUGUCACUAUCUUAUACAAAACCCUGAAGUCUCUUGGAGAACUCAAAUAGCUUCAGCAGAUUCUCCCGAUGCCUGUGAAGUCAAAGGUCUGUAGCUCCUUGAGUAUUUUAGACUUUGACCACUGAUUACCUUAUGAUGGACUGCAGAAAAGUAUUUAACAACAAAUCUUUUAAUGUUUUUCUCACCCUUCCCAUUUGGUUGAAUCCUGGAAACAUUUGUCCUUUCAUUUAAUACUUAAACCAACAUCAUUAGGCCCUGUUAAAAGUUUUUGUCUUUAUAACUAAUGAAAAUCAGAGCCCGGUAGGUGUUAACCCACCUUAUUUAGAGCCCACUAGGUAUUAAAAUGUCUUGUUUUCUUGCCUUUUGGCUUCAACCCUAAGAUCUGCCUAAUCAAACCCUGAUGUUCUACAUGGCAGAACGUAAGCUACCAUACUGAUCCCAAAUUAGACCUCCCAGGUUUUUAGUUCUAUUUAUAAAUAGAAGCAUCAGAGGAAGCAUUUAACUUGUAGACAGAUCAAGUCAACAAAUAACGAGUAAUAUUAUUCAGUAAAUUCAAGGAUAUCACAGAACUAUUUAGAACAGUAGAAAAACAUUCAUGUAUGGGUGGCCUAGGAGACCUAUUUAAUUUCUAGAAAUAGGAAAUUCCUUUAUAGUUUUUGUUCUUGUUUUUUUCUUUUAUUUCUACUUGUCAUACGAAAAGAUGGAAAAAUUACCCAUCAUUUGUCUGUCCUGAUAGUCAUUAUCAUAGAACCUCAUUAAAAGUAAUUAAAAUUUGCCACAGAAAUCUUUUUGAGUGCUGCACAUCUUUGUCUCAUUGAAUCUCUGCUAGUCCUCUUGGAGGCACUCUUGUGGCAUGCAAAGAGUUCCAAAGGUACAUCAGCAAAUUGUUAAUCUCAGCACCCUUAAUGUGCUAGCUUCUUUUAGGAAUAAUUUAAACACGCUUUGGACUGUCCUUAUCACAAAGUACUGCUCUUACUAUAAUACCCAAAAUAACAGGAGUAGGGGGGGGCAGAGAUAACACAUAUAUCUCUAACCACCUGUUCGUAUGUUACCACUAGUGUAGUGUGUGUCUUAGUGAUAUCGUACCCUGUAAUGUAUGGUCCAGUGUAGCAUAUACCUAAGUAUAAAGCAGAGUGUAUAGCCAGGGUCAGCUUCCAGGGCAUGCAGCUUAUAGUCUCACAGGGCCCUGCACUGAGAAGGGCCCCACAUUUGGUUUAAUGCUCAGUUGUCACUAUCUUGAAAGUUGUGAUUUUUUUACAAGGGGUUCCACAUUUUCAUUUUCUACUGAGCCUUGCAAAUUAUAUAGUCUGCGCUGGAUAAUGCAGUGUAUAUUCUCCUAAAUACCUCCCUACCCACAACUCUUUAGCAUGUAUUCCUUCAAUCUAAAAAAAAAAAAAAAAAAAAAAAAAAGGCUAUAAAAUACUCCUAUUUCAAAUGUAAAUAAGUAAUGUAAAUAUUAUAGGAUCAUAUUAUAUAUACUAGUUUUGCUUUCUCAUUUAAUAUAUUAAGGAUAUACUGAAGAAUACUCUCUUGUAUGGAUAAACCAUAAUUUAACUACCUACUGAUGGACAUGUAUGUCUUCUGUUCUUUGCUGUGAUAGUGAACAUCUUUCAGCAUACAUCUUUGUUUACUUGCCCCACUAUUUCCCUAGGAUAAAUUUCUAAAAGUAGAAUUGCUGAGUCAAAGGGUAUGGACAUUUAAAAUGUGACACAUACAACCCAACUGUUCCUCAAAAGAUUACACUAGGUUAUAUCAAUCUAAAUCCCACCAACAGGUUAUAGGCACCAUGGUUACCCUGCAUUGUUGCUCCCCAUGCUAGCAUAAUAACUCACUUUCACCUCUGUUGAUCUGAUAUUGCUGGUAUUUCUAAUGGCAUUAACCUGAGUUAUUAGAUCACUGGGAUAUCAUUGAUUCUGCUAAUAUGGAAUGGGAGUUUAUUGAACCAAACAUCAAACAUAA
Molecule: RNA transcript, 6185 nt
Organism: Mustela lutreola (European mink)
Lineage: Eukaryota; Metazoa; Chordata; Mammalia; Carnivora; Mustelidae
Gene name: vasodilator-stimulated phosphoprotein-like
Exons: 2
Source: RefSeq, a predicted model, not a curated record